GUCUAUAAAUGAUAUAUUAUACCGAAAAAGGUAUUCUAUACCGAAAAAGGUAUUUAUUUCCUCGUCAGACUCUGUCAUUUUUGCCUUUCAAGCAAACAACAUUGUUCCCGCCAUUUUUUAGCCUUGCGUGUGGUCUCGCGUGAUGUUCGCGAAUCAUAUUCACCGGUGAAUUUGACUCAUAUUCACCGGUGAAUAUGACUGAAAUUUCCUGCUGCACCAAAUACGAAUGACGUAAGCGCGAUACGAUGAUAAAUUUCACGAUCACAUGGCACAAAUCUAGCUUUCUCAUUGGACAAUUUUAAUUUGAGGUAUAAUAUUCCCCGAUAAUCACCUAGCCUGAGGCGAAUAAUUGUUUUAUUAUUUUUGCACAAGUUUUUUUGUUUUUUUCUGGUCUGAAUUUAUUUUAAUUUCGCU
Non-coding RNA from Paramuricea clavata, 414 nucleotides. NCBI's taxonomy places the organism in Eukaryota, Metazoa, Cnidaria, Anthozoa, Malacalcyonacea, Plexauridae. The record is from the annotation of a GenBank genome assembly.